This 48-nucleotide non-coding RNA is filed under the name Schistosoma haematobium. Lineage: Eukaryota; Metazoa; Platyhelminthes; Trematoda; Strigeidida; Schistosomatidae. The record is from RNAcentral.
AUCCUGCUGAUGGGUCUGAAAUAGGACGAAACGCGCGUCAAACUGGAU